Molecule: ribosomal RNA, 420 nt
Filed under: bacterium
Lineage: Bacteria
Description: partial 16S ribosomal RNA
Rfam family: Bacterial small subunit ribosomal RNA
Source: RNAcentral
UGGGGGAUAUUGCACAAUGGGCGAAAGCCUGAUGCAGCGACGCCGCGUGGGGGAUGAAGGCUUUCGGGUUGUAAACCUCUUUCGCUAUCGAACAAGGCCCGCUUAGGGUGGGUUGAGGGUAGGUGGAGAAGAAGCGCCGGCUAACUACGUGCCAGCAGCCGCGGUAAUACGUAGGGCGCGAGCGUUGUCCGGAAUUAUUGGGCGUAAAGGGCUUGUAGGCGGCUUGUUGCGCCUGCUGUGAAAACGCGGGGCUUAACUUCGCGCGUGCAGUGGGUACGGGCAGGCUUGAGUGUGGUAGGGGUGACUGGAAUUCCAGGUGUAGCGGUGGAAUGCGCAGAUAUCUGGAGGAACACCGAUGGCGAAGGCAGGUCACUGGGCCAUUACUGACGCUGAGGCUCGAAAGCAUGGGUAGCGAACAGG